GGAAGUAUACCCAAGUCUCGGUUGAAGGGGGCGGUCUCGAAAACCGUUAGAUGGAGUAAUCCAUGCAAGAGUUCGAAUCUCUUUACUUCCG
This 91-nucleotide transfer RNA is filed under the name Spiroplasma citri. It matches the Rfam family "tRNA". Rfam says of the family: Transfer RNA (tRNA) molecules are approximately 80 nucleotides in length. The record is from Rfam by way of RNAcentral. Lineage: Bacteria; Bacillati; Mycoplasmatota; Mollicutes; Entomoplasmatales; Spiroplasmataceae.